AUUGAACGCUGGCGGCAUGCCUUACACAUGCAAGUCGAACGGUAACAGGUCUUCGGAUGCUGACUAGUGGCGAACGGGUGAGUAAUACAGCGGAACGUGCCCGGACGUGGUGUAUAACGGGGCGAAAGCUUUGCUAAUACCGCAUACUAUCUCAUGAGGAAAACAGGUGACCGCAAGGCCUUGUGCGUUUUUGGCGGCCGAUGUCAGAUUAGGUAGUUGGUGGGAUAAAAGCUUACCAAGCCGACGAUCUGUAGCUGGUCUGAGAGGACGACCAGCCACACUGGAACUGAGACACGGCCCAGACUCCUACGGGAGGCAGCAGUGGGGAAUUUUGGACAAUGGGCGAAAGCCUGAUCCAGCCAUGCCGCGUGCAGGAUGAAGGCCUUCGGGUUGUAAACUGCUUUUGUACGGAACGAAAAGGCUCUGGCUAAUACCUGGGGCACCUGACGGUACCGUAAGAAUAAGCACCGGCUAACUACGUG
Molecule: ribosomal RNA, 482 nt
Filed under: uncultured bacterium
Lineage: Bacteria
Description: partial 16S ribosomal RNA
Rfam family: Bacterial small subunit ribosomal RNA
Source: RNAcentral